Grus americana (Whooping crane) is the source of this 184-nucleotide long non-coding RNA. RefSeq lists it as uncharacterized. The transcript is spliced from 3 exons. The record is from RefSeq and is a predicted model, not a curated record. NCBI's taxonomy places the organism in Eukaryota, Metazoa, Chordata, Aves, Gruiformes, Gruidae.
CAGUGUCUCAGCACGUGCCUCUCGCUUGAUUUUUGUCAGGUGCCGCAGGGAGCCUCGGAGGGGCAAAGCCGCGUGCCGACGAGCAGUCAGAGAAGGUGCUGUGCGGCCACCUUUGUGACCGGAUGGCCAUUUGAGGUGCCACGAGGGAUGACAAGCUGCAGGGUCAGUCUCUGGACCGAGCAGG